ACAGCUGAUCCAGUUAGUAUGGAAAUUGAUAAGGAGAUCUGUAUUAGUUACGGAAAUAAAGGAAAUGAGGAACUCUUAUACCUCUAUGGUUUUAUCAUUGACAUUAAUCCGAGUGAUUAUCUCAUGGUUCACUAUCCUUUAGAGCUCCUUCAGAAUUCACCCUUUUCUGAGAGAAAGGAAAAGCUCCUAGAAUUACAG
Dendrobium catenatum is the source of this 198-nucleotide long non-coding RNA. RefSeq lists it as uncharacterized. NCBI's taxonomy places the organism in Eukaryota, Viridiplantae, Streptophyta, Magnoliopsida, Asparagales, Orchidaceae. The record is from RefSeq and is a predicted model, not a curated record. The transcript is spliced from 3 exons.